CAGCAGACACAUUCCAGCCAAUCAGCAGCAGACCCUCCCUCUCAGACCCUCCCACCUCCUGGACAGCAUCCAUUUUGAAGCUGCAUUCUUAGUGAGCUGUCCAGGAGGUGGGAGGGUCUGGGAGGGAGGGUCUGCUGCUGAUUGGCUGGAAUGUGUCUGCU
This is a non-coding RNA of Pelobates cultripes (western spadefoot toad), 161 nucleotides long. Lineage: Eukaryota; Metazoa; Chordata; Amphibia; Anura; Pelobatidae. The record is from the annotation of a GenBank genome assembly.